UACGUAGGGUGCGAGCGUUGUCCGGAAUUACUGGGCGUAAAGCGCACGUAGGCGGAUUUGUAAGUCAGGGGUGAAAUCCCGGGGCUCAACCCCGGAACUGCCUUUGAUACUGCGAAUCUCGAGUCCGGAAGAGGUGAGUGGAAUUCCUAGUGUAGAGGUGAAAUUCGUAGAUAUUAGGAAGAACACCAGUGGCGAAGGCGGCUCACUGGUCCGGUACUGACGCUGAGGUGCGAAAGCGUGGGGAGCAAACAGG
Molecule: ribosomal RNA, 253 nt
Filed under: uncultured bacterium
Lineage: Bacteria
Description: partial 16S ribosomal RNA
Rfam family: Bacterial small subunit ribosomal RNA
Source: RNAcentral